RNAcentral lists this ribosomal RNA (86 nucleotides) under Candidatus Phocaeicola faecipullorum. Lineage: Bacteria; Pseudomonadati; Bacteroidota; Bacteroidia; Bacteroidales; Bacteroidaceae. The record is from RNAcentral.
CCACCUCUUCCCAUUCCGAACAGAGAAGUUAAGCUUCGUCACGCCGAUGGUACUGCAUAUUGUGGGAGAGUAGGUAGCCGCCGUUU